This 26-nucleotide small RNA is filed under the name Bombyx mori (domestic silkworm). RNAcentral's name for it is "ovarian small RNA-35320". Lineage: Eukaryota; Metazoa; Arthropoda; Insecta; Lepidoptera; Bombycidae. The record is from RNAcentral.
UGUAAGAAACAUAAUCAUGUUUGGGC